CCAAACUUGCAAAGAUAAAUUCUAAUGCAGUGCGAGCUCAUUUCUAGGGUUUUGUAUACUUCUCUUCCUGCGUAUCUCUCAAUCGAUCGAGCGUUUCAUUUGAUUCUAAUCGAACAAUUGGAGCUCGCUCUUCGUAAUACUUUUUGGGGGGAAGAUGGAGCUUCGUACUUGCUUGGUGUUUCCUUUUCGUGGUCGAGAAAAUUGAUUUGAAGUAUGGACUUGUGAUUCCGCGUAACACCGUGUUGCAGAAAAGUAGACAUUUGUGUAAGUUGAGGCACAUAUUAGA
Long non-coding RNA from Rhodamnia argentea, 286 nucleotides. RefSeq lists it as uncharacterized. The record is from RefSeq and is a predicted model, not a curated record. NCBI's taxonomy places the organism in Eukaryota, Viridiplantae, Streptophyta, Magnoliopsida, Myrtales, Myrtaceae. The transcript has 3 exons.